GUUGUGCCCUUGAGGUGUGGCUUCCGGAGCUAACGCGUUAAGUCGACCGCCUGGGGAGUACGGCCGCAAGGUUAAAACUCAAAUGAAUUGACGGGGGCCCGCACAAGCGGUGGAGCAUGUGGUUUAAUUCGAUGCAACGCGAAGAACCUUACCUGGUCUUGACAUCCACGGAAGUUUUCAGAGAUGAGAAUGUGCCUUCGGGAACCGUGAGACAGGUGCUGCAUGGCUGUCGUCAGCUCGUGUUGUGAAAUGUUGGGUUAAGUCCCGCAACGAGCGCAACCCUUAUCCUUUGUUGCCAGCGGUCCGGCCGGGAACUCAAAGGAGACUGCCAGUGAUAAACUGGAGGAAGGUGGGGAUGACGUCAAGUCAUCAUGGCCCUUACGACCAGGGCUACACACGUGCUACAAUGGCGCAUACAAAGAGAAGCGACCUCGCGAGAGCAAGCGGACCUCAUAAAGUGCGUCGUAGUCCGGAUUGGAGUCUGCAACUCGACUCCAUGAAGUCGGAAUCGCUAGUAAUCGUGGAUCAGAAUGCCACGGUGAAUACGUUCCCGGGCCUUGUACACACCGCCCGUCACACCAUGGGAGUGGGUUGCAAAAGAAGUAGGUAGCUUAACCUUCGGGAGGGCGCUUACCACUUUGUGAUUCAUGACUGGGGUGAAGUCGUAACAAGGUAACCGUAGGGGAACCUGCGGUUGGAUCACCUCCU
RNAcentral lists this ribosomal RNA (708 nucleotides) under Escherichia coli. Its description in RNAcentral is "partial 16S ribosomal RNA". It matches the Rfam family "Bacterial small subunit ribosomal RNA", at positions 823 to 1531 of the family's 1533-position model. RNAcentral also lists the same sequence under 1 other name. The record is from RNAcentral. Lineage: Bacteria; Pseudomonadati; Pseudomonadota; Gammaproteobacteria; Enterobacterales; Enterobacteriaceae.